This 236-nucleotide long non-coding RNA is filed under the name Elaeis guineensis (African oil palm). RNAcentral's name for it is "long non-coding RNA (EGUI_LNC072892)". Lineage: Eukaryota; Viridiplantae; Streptophyta; Magnoliopsida; Arecales; Arecaceae. The record is from RNAcentral.
AUGUAAUAGAUGUAGUGGUAAAGAAGUUUGAUCCCUAUGACUUCUUAUUUUCUCUAUGAAGCAACUUUGUGCCAGCUAGUCCUGCAAGAAGAAGGUGGCUCCCCAGUCAAUUUUAUGCGGAUUGAUGUCCUUCAUCCUGGGCCACAUCUCAUUCUUCAUCUAUCAUGCCCGAACUAUGCCGACCAUCUUUAGAUCGGCCAUAUAUUGAUCAAAUCUGAACCAGACCGACCAUCUUU